RNAcentral lists this ribosomal RNA (264 nucleotides) under uncultured bacterium. RNAcentral's name for it is "partial 16S ribosomal RNA". It matches the Rfam family "Bacterial small subunit ribosomal RNA", at positions 57 to 305 of the family's 1533-position model. The record is from RNAcentral.
GCAAGUCGAGCGCGAACGGAACUUCGGUUCCUAGUAGAGCGGCACAAGGGUGAGUAAUGCGUGGACAAUCUACCCUCGAGACUGGAAUAACGGCGGGAAACCGCCGCUAAUGCCGGAUGGCCCUGCGAAGAGGCAUCUCUUUGUGGGUAAAGGUGGGGAUCCUUCGGGACCUGCUGCUCGGGGAGGAGUUCACGUCCUAUCAGCUUGUUGGUGAGGUAAUGGCUCACCAAGGCAUCGACGGGUAGGCGGGCUGAGAGGCCGAUC